CCAAUAGCGUAUAUUAAAGUUGUUGCAGUUAAAAAGCUCGUAGUUGAAUUUCGAGAUCAAUUUGUUGGUCGUGCCUCGGUACGUACUGGCAAUUUUGAUUUCUCCCUUCUGAAGAACCAUGAUGUCAUUAAUUUGGUGUCAUGGGGAAUCAGGACCGUUACUUUGAAAAAAUUAGAGUGUUUAAAGCAGGCUCGCGCUUGAAUACAUUAGCAUGGAAUAAUGAAAUAGGACGUUUGAUUCUAUUUUGUUGGUUUCUAGGAUCGACGUAAUGAUUAAUAGGGAUAGUUGGGGGCAUUAGUAUUCAAUUGUCAGAGGUGAAAUUCUUGGAUUUAUUGAAGACUAACUACUGCGAAAGCAUUUGCCAAGGAUGUUUUCAUUAAUCAAGAACGAAAGUUAGGGGAUCGAAGACGAUCAGAUACCGUCGUAGUCUUAACCAUAAACUAUGCCGACUAGGGAUCGGAUGAUGUUAAUUUUUUAAUGACUCAUUCGGCGCCUUACGGGAAACCAAAGUGUUUGGGUC
Molecule: non-coding RNA, 520 nt
Filed under: uncultured Glomus
Lineage: Eukaryota; Fungi; Glomeromycota; Glomeromycetes; Glomerales; Glomeraceae
Also listed under: 1 other name
Description: SSU rRNA
Rfam family: Eukaryotic small subunit ribosomal RNA
Source: RNAcentral